RNAcentral lists this unclassified non-coding RNA (338 nucleotides) under uncultured Glomus. RNAcentral describes it as "SSU rRNA". It matches the Rfam family "Eukaryotic small subunit ribosomal RNA", at positions 569 to 914 of the family's 1831-position model. Lineage: Eukaryota; Fungi; Glomeromycota; Glomeromycetes; Glomerales; Glomeraceae. The record is from RNAcentral.
AGCAGCCGCGGUAAUUCCAGCUCCAAUAGCGUAUAUUAAAGUUGUUGCAGUUAAAAGCUCGUAGUUGAAUUUCGAGAUCAAAUUGUUGGUCGUGCCUCAGUACGCACUGGCAUUAUUGAUUUCUCCCUUCUGACGAUCCGCGAUGUCAUUAAUUUGGUGUCGCGGGGAAUCAGGACUGUUACUUUGAAAAAUUAGAGUGUUUAAAGCAGGCUCACGCUUGAAUACAUUAGCAUGGAAUAAUGAAAUAGGACGUUUGAUUCUAUUUUGUUGGUUUCUAGGAUCGACGUAAUGAUUAAUAGGGAUAGUUGGGGGCAUUAGUAUUCAAUUGUCAGAGGUNA